AUAGAGACUCAGAGCUGCAUAUCAAUAAGCGGAGGAAAAGAAACUAACAAGGAUUCCCCUAGUAACGGCGAGUGAAGCGGGAAGAGCUCAAAUUUGAAAUCUUCAAGGGUUUCCCUUGACGAAUUGUAGUUUAAAGAAGUGUUUUCUGUUAGAGAGGUGGUAAAAGUUCUUUGGAAUAGGACAUCAUAGAGGGUGAGAAUCCCGUAUUUGAUCACUUUCUACUAACGUUGUGAUACACUUUCAAAGAGUCGGAUUGUUUGGGAAUGCAGUCCAAAAUGGGUGGUAAAUUUCAUCUAAAGCUAAAUAUUGGCGAGAGACCGAUAGCGAACAAGUACCGUGAGGGAAAGAUGAAAAGAACUUUGAAAAGAGAGUUAAACAGUACGUGAAAUUGUCAAAAGGGAAGCGUUUGACACCAGUGUUGUUUUUCCGAAAAUCAAUUAUGAAUGGCUUGAUUUUAAGUUUCAUGACCUUAAAAGCUUGUUUCUUAUUUUUCAUGUCUUUCGUAAUGCACUUUUCGGUUAACAAGUCAACAUCAAUUUCUUUUGUGGUAAAAGAGUAUGAGGAAGGUGGCUUUCUUUUCGGAGAAAGUGUUUAUAGCCUUUGUACUCCUGCAAUCGGAGAGAUUGAGGUCUGCAGCGUAGAUCCUUCGGGGUUAGAUACAUUUGUGCUAAGUUAUAGCUUUUCAUAGACAACUUGUUGAUUAUGUUAAGUCUUGUAGACUUACUCGCUUAUGCUAUUUUACCUACGCUUAGGAUGUUGAUAUGCAUGACUGAUAU
RNAcentral lists this ribosomal RNA (776 nucleotides) under uncultured Neocallimastigales. RNAcentral describes it as "partial large subunit ribosomal RNA". It matches the Rfam family "Eukaryotic large subunit ribosomal RNA", at positions 23 to 640 of the family's 3401-position model. The record is from RNAcentral. Lineage: Eukaryota; Fungi; Neocallimastigomycota; Neocallimastigomycetes; Neocallimastigales.